UACGUAGGGGGCUAGCGUUGUUCGGAUUCAUUGGGCGUAAAGGGUGCGUAGGUGGCGCUGUAAGUCGGGUGUGAAAUCCUGAGGCUUAACCUCGGAACUGCAUUCGAUACUGCGGCGCUUGAGGACUGGAGAGGAGACUGGAAUUCAUGGUGUAGCAGUGAAAUGCGUAGAGAUCAUGAGGAAGACCAGUGGCGAAGGCGGGUCUCUGGACAGUUCCUGACACUGAGGCACGAAGGCCAGGGGAGCAAACGGG
RNAcentral lists this ribosomal RNA (253 nucleotides) under uncultured bacterium. RNAcentral describes it as "partial 16S ribosomal RNA". It matches the Rfam family "Bacterial small subunit ribosomal RNA", at positions 524 to 776 of the family's 1533-position model. The record is from RNAcentral.